RNAcentral lists this ribosomal RNA (497 nucleotides) under uncultured bacterium. Its description in RNAcentral is "partial 16S ribosomal RNA". It matches the Rfam family "Bacterial small subunit ribosomal RNA", at positions 28 to 507 of the family's 1533-position model. The record is from RNAcentral.
GAUGAACGCUGGCGGCGUGCCUAAUACAUGCAAGUCGAGCGAACAGACGAGGAGCUUGCUCCUCUGACGUUAGCGGCGGACGGGUGAGUAACACGUGGAUAACCUACCUAUAAGACUGGGAUAACUUCGGGAAACCGGAGCUAAUACCGGAUAAUAUAUUGAACCGCAUGGUUCAAUAGUGAAAGACGGUUUUGCUGUCACUUAUAGAUGGAUCCGCGCCGCAUUAGCUAGUUGGUAAGGUAACGGCUUACCAAGGCAACGAUGCGUAACCGACCUGAGAGGGUGAUCGGCCACACUGGAACUGAGACACGGUCCAGACUCCUACGGGAGGCAGCAGUAGGGAAUCUUCGGCAAUGGGCGAAAGCCUGACGGAGCAACGCCGCGUGAGUGAUGAAGGUCUUCGGAUCGUAAAACUCUGUUAUUAGGGAAGAACAAAUGUGUAAGUAACUAUGCACGUCUUGACGGUACCUAAUCAGAAAGCCACGGCUAACUACGUG